RNAcentral lists this ribosomal RNA (253 nucleotides) under uncultured bacterium. Its description in RNAcentral is "partial 16S ribosomal RNA". It matches the Rfam family "Bacterial small subunit ribosomal RNA", at positions 524 to 776 of the family's 1533-position model. The record is from RNAcentral.
UACGGGGGGGGCAAGCGUUGUUCGGAAUUACUGGGCGUAAAGGGCUCGUAGGCGGCCUUCUAAGUCGAACGUGAAAUCCCUGGGCUCAACCCAGGAACUGCGUCCGAUACUGGAAGGCUUGAAUCCGGGAGAGGGAUGCGGAAUUCCAGGUGUAGCGGUGAAAUGCGUAGAUAUCUGGAGGAACACCGGUGGCGAAGGCGACAUCCUGGACCGGUAUUGACGCUGAGGCGCGAAAGCCAGGGGAGCAAACGGG